This 206-nucleotide unclassified non-coding RNA is filed under the name Hevea brasiliensis (rubber tree). Lineage: Eukaryota; Viridiplantae; Streptophyta; Magnoliopsida; Malpighiales; Euphorbiaceae. The record is from RNAcentral.
CACAUUCCAACAUCUCAUGGCAUUGCUUCUCAAUUUCAUCCUUCUGUGCAUGUGGAUAUCGAUAAGGUCGGACCACUAUUGGAGUAGUUCCUAGCUCCAAGUUGAUGUGGUAAUCAUAAGUCCGGGCUGGAGGAAGCCCCUCGGGUUCUUGGAAUAUCGAUGUGAACUUUGUUAAAAGCUGGUUCAAUUCCACAUCAGAGUUUGUU